GAUGAACGCUGGCGGCGUGCCUAAUACAUGCAAGUCGAGCGAACGGACGAGAAGCUUGCUUCUCUGAUGUUAGCGGCGGACGGGUGAGUAACACGUGGAUAACCUACCUAUAAGACUGGGAUAACUUCGGGAAACCGGAGCUAAUACCGGAUAAUAUUUUGAACCGCAUGGUUCAAAAGUGAAAGACGGUCUUGCUGUCACUUAUAGAUGGAUCCGCGCUGCAUUAGCUAGUUGGUAAGGUAACGGCUUACCAAGGCAACGAUGCAUAGCCGACCUGAGAGGGUGAUGGGCCACACUGGAACGGAGACCCGGUCAAAACCCCUCCGGAAGGAAGAAGAGGGGAAUCUUCCGCAAGGGGCGAACGCCGGACGGAGCAGCGCGGGGUGAGUGAUGAGGGUUUUCGGAUCAAAAAACUUUUUUAUGGGGGAAAAAAAUAUGUGAAAGAAACUGUCCACUUCUGGAGGUUCCCUAAUAAAAAAGCCACGCCAACCUACGUC
This 497-nucleotide ribosomal RNA is filed under the name uncultured bacterium. RNAcentral describes it as "partial 16S ribosomal RNA". It matches the Rfam family "Bacterial small subunit ribosomal RNA", at positions 28 to 507 of the family's 1533-position model. The record is from RNAcentral.